This 497-nucleotide ribosomal RNA is filed under the name uncultured bacterium. Its description in RNAcentral is "partial 16S ribosomal RNA". It matches the Rfam family "Bacterial small subunit ribosomal RNA", at positions 28 to 507 of the family's 1533-position model. The record is from RNAcentral.
GACGAACGCUGGCGGCGUGCCUAAUACAUGCAAGUUGAGCGCUGAAGGUUGGUACUUGUACCAACUGGAUGAGCAGCGAACGGGUGAGUAACGCGUGGGGAAUCUGCCUUUGAGCGGGGGGCAACAUUUGGAAACGAAUGCUAAUACCGCAUAAAAACUUUAAACACAAGUUUUAAGUUUGAAAGAUGCAAUUGCAUCACUCAAAGAUGAUCCCGCGUUGUAUUAGCUAGUUGGUGAGGUAAAGGCUCACCAAGGCGAUGAUACAUAGCCGACCUGAGAGGGUGAUCGGCCACAUUGGGACUGGGACACGGCCCCAACUUCUACGGGAGGCAGCAGUAGGGAAACUUCGGCAAUGGACGAAAGUCUGACCGAGCAACGCCGCGGGAGUGAAGAAGGGUUUCGGAUCGUAAAACUCUGUUGGUAGGGAAGAACGUUGGUGAGAGUGGAAAGCUCAUCAAGUGACGGUAACUACCCAGAAAGGGACGGCUAACUACGUG